Molecule: long non-coding RNA, 883 nt
Filed under: Gadus morhua (Atlantic cod)
Lineage: Eukaryota; Metazoa; Chordata; Actinopteri; Gadiformes; Gadidae
Description: lncRNA (ENSGMOG00000034027.1)
Source: RNAcentral
GAUGAGUGUCACUAGGAGAAGCUUCGAGGUCAUCAGUGUGACAUCAGACUAUGCUGGGACACUGGCCGGCCAAUCUGGUUGCAGCUCUCAGGGAAACUCCUCCCAGCCAAGUAGCUCCUCCCUCCUCCGGAGCUCCUCACGCUUCAGGGUGAUCCGAUUGGCCACUGGGCGGGCGGAGCCCUAUUGCCGCGGGCGAUGGACCUGCAGGGACUUCCUGGAGAGUGAAGAGGGGGCGGGGCUUAGGAGGAUGAUGGAAAGCAUGAGACACGCCCACUCACUGGAGUCCCUGGACAUCAUCCGUCAGCUUCCUCUACGGAAAGGGGAGGGGCUCCAUGUUCUCGCCCAGAGACCAAUCAAAACGGAUAUGAGACCAUUCAGAGGCCUGCAGCCAAUCGGGCUGCCCCUUCUUGACUCUAUCCAGCCAAUAGAGGACUCCGCUCUGCCACCACGGCUACUCAAUAUCCCUGUUCUCCAAUUGGACACCAAUGCUCAGUCUGAGCGAGUGUGUCUCCACCGACCUGAAGAUGGUUUGUUCAACCCCAGCCAAACAGUGUCCAUACUCGACCACACCAUGUUCAGCAUUUCAGCGGAAACCAGUGAUGCUGGUCUGGACCUGAACACCAUCGAUACCAAGAUCCAACAGGCCAUGGUAGGACUUCAUGUAAUUGAACUGUUCUGCUCCUUCUCUCCCUGCCUUCCUCCCUGGUUCUCCCCCUUGUUCUCUCCUCUCUCUCUCUCUCUCUCUCUCUCUCUCUCUCUCUCUCUCUCUCUCUCUCUCUCUCUCUCUCUCUCUCUCUCUCUCUCUCAUGCUCUCUCUCUCUCACGCCCUCUCUCUCCCACGCUCUUUCUCUCACGCUCUCACUCUAUGUUUAUAUAUGUAUGA